Molecule: ribosomal RNA, 254 nt
Filed under: uncultured bacterium
Lineage: Bacteria
Description: partial 16S ribosomal RNA
Rfam family: Bacterial small subunit ribosomal RNA
Source: RNAcentral
UACGUGGGGUGCAAACGUUGCUCGGAAUUAUUGGGCGUAAAGCGUGCGUAGGCGGUUCAGCAAGUCGGGUGUGAAAUCCCUCGGCUCAACCGAGGAAGUGCAUUCGAAACUACUGAGCUUGAGUACCGGAGAGGGUGACGGAAUUCCCGGUGUAGAGGUGAAAUUCGUAGAUAUCGGGAGGAACACCAGUGGCGAAGGCGGUCACCUGGACGGAUACUGACGCUGAGUGCACGAAAGCGUGGGGAGCAAACAGG